Molecule: ribosomal RNA, 585 nt
Filed under: uncultured bacterium
Lineage: Bacteria
Description: bacterial SSU rRNA
Rfam family: Bacterial small subunit ribosomal RNA
Source: RNAcentral
CCUACGGGAGGCAGCAGUGGGGAAUUUUGGACAAUGGGCGCAAGCCUGAUCCAGCAAUGCCGCGUGAGUGAAGAAGGCCUUCGGGUUGUAAAGCUCUUUUGUCAGGGAAGAAACGGUGGGAGCUAAUAUCUCCUGCUAAUGACGGUACCUGAAGAAUAAGCACCGGCUAACUACGUGCCAGCAGCCGCGGUAAUACGUAGGGUGCAAGCGUUAAUCGGAAUUACUGGGCGUAAAGCGUGCGCAGGCGGUUUUGUAAGACUGUCGUGAAAUCCCCGGGCUCAACCUGGGAAUGGCGAUGGUGACUGCAAGGCUAGAGUUUGGCAGAGGGGGGUAGAAUUCCACGUGUAGCAGUGAAAUGCGUAGAUAUGUGGAGGAACACCGAUGGCGAAGGCAGCCCCCUGGGUCAAAACUGACGCUCAUGCACGAAAGCGUGGGGAGCAAACAGGAUUAGAUACCCUGGUAGUCCACGCCCUAAACGAUGUCUGCUAGUUGUCGGGUCUUAAUUGACUUGGUAACGCAGCUAACGCGUGAAGUAGACCGCCUGGGGAGUACGGUCGCAAGAUUAAAACUCAAAUGAAUUGACGG